GCAUGCGGCAUGCUUACCAUGCAGUCGACGGAAGGCCUCUAGCUUGCUAGGGGUACUCGAGUGGCGAACGGGUGAGUAACACGUGGGUGAUCUGCCCUGCACUUUGGGAUAAGCUUGGGAAACUGGGUCUAAUACCGAAUAUGACCAUUGUUUGGAUGCGAUGGUGGAAAGCUUUUGCGGUGUGGGAUGAGCCUGCGGCCUAUCAGCUUGUUGGUGGGGUAAUGGCCUACCAAGGCGGCGACGGGUAUCCGGCCUGAGAGGGUGUACGGACACAUUGGGACUGAGAUACGGCCCAGACUCCUACGGGAGGCAGCAGUGGGGAAUAUUGCACAAUGGGCGCAAGCCUGAUGCAGCGACGCCGCGUGGGGGAUGACGGCCUUCGGGUUGUAAACUCCUUUCGCCAGGGACGAAGCGUUUUUGUGACGGUACCUGGAUAAGAAGCACCGGCUAACUACGUGCCAGCAGCCGCGGUAAUACGUAGGGUGCGAGCGUUGUCCGGAAUUACUGGGCGUAAAGAGCUCGUAGGUGGUUUGUCGCGUCGUCUGUGAAAUCCCGGGGCUUAACUUCGGGCGUGCAGGCGAUACGGGCAUAACUUGAGUGCUGUAGGGGAGACUGGAAUUCCUGGUGUAGCGGUGAAAUGCGCAGAUAUCAGGAGGAACACCGAUGGCGAAGGCAGGUCUCUGGGCAGUAACUGACGCUGAGGAGCGAAAGCAUGGGUAGCGAACAGGAUUAGAUACCCUGGUAGUCCAUGCCGUAACGGUGGGCGCUAGGUGUAGGGGGCUUCCACGUCUUCUGUGCCG
Molecule: ribosomal RNA, 800 nt
Filed under: Corynebacterium sp. JSM 2215034
Lineage: Bacteria; Bacillati; Actinomycetota; Actinomycetes; Mycobacteriales; Corynebacteriaceae
Description: bacterial SSU rRNA
Rfam family: Bacterial small subunit ribosomal RNA
Source: RNAcentral